CUGCGCUCCACUGUCUUUUACAGCUUUUUCUGAGAACUUUUGUGUUACGUAAGCUGCAGAUGACAUUACUGUGUAUGGACACACUCCCUCCCCCUUUGCCCUCACUCUUUCUCAUGUCUUUACCUGAGAAAACAGUCACACCCAGCAUCUUCAACCCCACCAAUCACAGCACAGAUGUGUUGACUUCCUGUUUCUGUGAGAGAGAAGCAUGCAGUGCCAGUGAGAGUGAGGUGAGUAAAAGGCUGAAUUACUGGAACAAGCUGUAGCGCAAUCACUGUGGGUCUACUGAGUUUAUGAGAAGUGAAGAAAAGCUGCGUGUGAGCUUAAACAGACGGUAACUUUUGGACUCCUCUUUAAGACAGUGCUGGAGGGGGAAAGUAAAAGGAAAACAGAAACAGAAAGAGGGGAGGAAGAUAAGUGUCAAUCUGUUCAAACUUGUUUGGGAAUUUGAGAAGGGCGGGAGGAGGGGACGAGAGAGAGAGAGGGAAACAGAGAGAAGGAGAGAGAGGAACACUGUGAGAAUCUUUUUACUUUGCUGAAAACUAUUUUUGCUUACAUUAACACAUUAAGUAGGACAGAGGCAGGCUGGAUAAUUAAAUCAGUGUUUUCAGUAGAGCAUUUAUCUCACUCAACUUUGGUUCUCUCAAUGGGCAAACACUGAUAUGUGGAAUGUCUGAGAGUUGUGCAAUUCCUGCUAGCUUCACUUUGUCAAUAAAGCAAAGAAAAACUUGGAGAGAGACAGAGAAGCGUCCCCCAAGACACUUCUCAGAUUCUCUAUGUUGCCAUGGAAACCAGUCAAAUUAAUUGGGCCAUCCAAUACACUGUGCAGAUACAGUCCUCUUAAGGUGCACUAGACAGGUUGUCAAUCAAGUGCAAACUGUUACCUUGAGGUAAUUGGCGAAGGGGACCUAGGUGAAGAAGAGACUUGGAAACACCAAAAGAUGGACAGAACAAGAGAAAAAGAAAUGGAACCAGACUCAUGUGAUGGGAUUAGGGAGAGAUUUCCUGCAACCAGAAGAAGAGAUGGAGAGGUGGACUGGACAGAAAGACAGAGGUGGAGAAAUAGAGAUCGACAUGCAAAUGGAAGCUCAUCAGUGUCAGAGCAGGCUGAAUAUGGAGAUCGAGACAAUGAGAGGAGAAAAGGGGACACUUUUCCAAGGAUGACAAAACCAACCAGAGUGAGAGACAGAAGGAUACCAAUUCCAGAUUAUGAAAGAGAACGUCACAUGGGACGACCGAAGGACAUACUGUAUAAAAAUGAAAGAGAUAAGGAAAGGAAGAGAUACAGAGACAUGGACAUACAGGAUGAAAGAGAAAUAGCAAGAUACAUGGAGGAAAUGAGGAGAAAGGAAAUGAGAAGGCUUGUAAAGGAGGAGACAGAUAGACAGAGGGAACGAGAGAAGGAGUUUGACUCAGGAAUGAGAGGAAGAAGGAGAGAAAGUUAUCCAGGGAUCAAUGACCUUUCAGGCAUGAGGGAAAGAGAGACAGACAGAGGCAGACAUCAACAAAGAGACAGAGAGGGCAGAUAUUAUCCUCGACUCAUGGAAAGAGAGACAGAGAGCUUUUCAGAUAGGGAAAGGAGAACCGAUAGACCGAGAGAGGGAGAGAGAUCUAGGAAAAGAGAUACAAAAAGCGAAGGAGACAGUGAUGGAGACAGGGGUAAGGAAAGUAAGAGAGAAGAAGAUAUUAAACAUAGACACAAACUCUACAAAAGUGAAGGAGACAGUGACGCAGAGCGAAGGAUAGACAGAGUUAGAGAGAGAGACAGACGUAGAGAGAGAGAAGCCGAGAGAUGGCGAGACAUGGCAAUGCCUAGAGAAAGAGAUUACCGGGAGAAAGGUUAUCAUGAUCCUAAAGGGGACAAUUUGGAACGACUCCGAGAGACAGAUAAACCAAGAGACAGAACAAGAGACUCCAAAGAGAAAAGAACAGACAGAGAUGCUUACUUAUACACAGCUGAAAGAGAAAGGUAUAGAGAUGGAGAAAGGAUAAGAGAGAAGGAUAGGUAUUCUGAAAGAGAAACUGAUGAGAGUGAGAGGCGGAGGAAAGAAAACAGAGAGACAGGGAGAAGUAAGGUGGAGAAGAGUGGACAAAGUAGUGGAGAGCUGAUUUCAGGAACUGAUAUUGAGAUUGAACAAAGGAGGGCAAUGAGAGAGAACCUUGAGGACAGAGACAGCGAAAACACAUAUGAGACUGAUAAAGAAAGAUUGAAGGGAAGAACAGAGGAAGAGCAGGAAGUAAGGAGUACACCGAGAGAAGAAGAGAAGAGUGAAAGCUUUGCUGCUGAGGAAGCAGUUACAAAGAAACCUAAAAACAGGAUAAGGAAAAUGUGGCUGGAACCUCGUAGUGAGAGAAAAGAAUCUUGUUUAAAAGAGGAGUACUCCGAGAGAGAGAGAGCAAGAGAGAGGUACAUCCAAAGAUACACAGAAAGCAUGACAACUGGAAAUGAAGAAGAGCCUGAGAUAAGGAAAGCAAGCAAGAGCAAAAGUCUUGAGGACAAGUAUAGAGAACUUGAGAGGGCCGGGGAGUUCUUGUUGGAUGUGGGCAGAAAAAGGGUGGAGAAGAAGAUGGAAGGGGACAUGGCUUCUGAUAAAGCCAUGGAACCAGAGUGGCAGAUGAACAGAGAGAAUGUGGCCGACAACAUGGAAGAGAAUGUCAGAGAUGAACAGAGAAGCAACAAUAGAUAUGACUACUUGGAGAAUGAGGAAGGAAGUGAGGGAGAGUCAGAAGCAGAGAAGAACAGAAUGAUGGCAGCAGAUGAUGGAUUUGUAACGGUUUCCAGUGGAGGGGAUGAUGCAGAGGAAGAGGAUUUUGAAGACUGCAAAGAAUUCUGGGAAGGUAAAGUUCCCGAAACUGUCUCUGGACACUCAGGAACUAUUCAUGACAGAGAGAUUGGGGCAGAUGAAGAACUGGAAAACCAAACAGUGAAUGAAAGAGCAGACUGUGUGGCUCCAAAAGGACCCCUAAGAGUAUUUUGUGUGAUUGGUCAGAUCCUUCCCAAUUCACAAACAAUAGAGAAUUCAAUUAUACAUCCUACUGUUGAAGAGGAAGCCGAUCAGCAUCCAGGUCAUAACAUGGACAACCAAGGUGAAAUAAGCACUGUAAAUGUAAAUGAAGCAUUUGAAAGGGUUGAACACUGUGAACAGGACAUUGAAAGAGUGAUGGACGACCUCAGUCUUUCUCCUAAUGAGGACAAAGUGGAGGGCGCAGGAAGUAAUGACCAGGCAACAGAGGGUGUAACAUCACUGGAAGGUCAAAUGAUUCCUCCCAGUGAGCAAACAGAACAAGACAACCAACUUUUCCUUCCAGAGCCUUUUGGGGCUACAGAGACUCGUAGUGAAGACACAAUAGAAAGAGGAGAAAAAGAACCUACCGGAGACACAGUGGGGCAUUUUGGUUCAGAUGACUCAUGGAGCACAUCAGAGGAACGAAAGCGAUGCUCUACUGCCCCUUACCUUAGAUGGGCCAAGAACGUGGUGAGAGAGAUCUUGGGUCCAAAGUCGGCGGACGCAGAAAAUACAAAAGAUGAUAAAGAGGAUGAAUUAUGUUUUACCUGGAGUGAAAUGGAUCUAAGGAAACUUGGGAGGACAAAAAAGAGGAAUUCUAAGUUCUUUAGUAAGUCUCUGUAUUGUCUUUAUCUGGAACACAUUGCUGAUAUUUACAUGGACAUGUACAUGGCUAUAACAGACUACAAAUAAAAAGUUCUGUUUUAAAAUGUUUAAAAUGCAUGAAAACAUUACUAAGACACAUAAAAUUCCCAGUAAUGCAAAUCCCAAUUUCACACACAC
This 3788-nucleotide long non-coding RNA is filed under the name Sinocyclocheilus grahami. Its description in RNAcentral is "lncRNA (ENSSGRG00000029038.1)". The record is from RNAcentral. Lineage: Eukaryota; Metazoa; Chordata; Actinopteri; Cypriniformes; Cyprinidae.